UAAAUUUUGUUAUGAAAAGAAUACACUUCAACUUAUUGUCAAAGCUAAGACAAGAAGCUUAGAAGUCCCGUUCGGAGAAGGUGAGUUAUGCGUUUGUUUUUACUUUUGAGUUCCGCACAAAAUUAAAUAACAAUCAAAUGAAAAUAUAUUUCUAUUCUAAAUAUAUUUUAGUUGAGAUAGGGGGAAAUGUAACGUAGUUACAAAAGGUCAACAAAAAUAUAAUUUUUAUCCAAACCUAAUCGCCAAGUAAGAUAUUUUUCAAUUUCAAAACAUGGGACCAGCGAGGGUUAUCGAUUACCUUUUAGUAACUCGAGAGCCCCUGGUGGUGGGAUUUAGAACCACCAAUUUAAACCUAUCCUGCAGCAAACUUACUGGGAGGAUCUCAUCACUAAAACUAAUGACGAUUAGCCUCAUCAGUUCAUACGAGAACUGAAAUGUUGUUUUUGCCAAAAAAAUACAAUAGAUGACUAUUGAAAAGAGGGCGUCGCGUAGGUCUAGCAUUGUUAAGUCAUCCGAUGAUCUAGCAUUCUCAAAUCGAUCGGUGAGCAAGUUAGAUGUGACCAAACAGUUAAUAGAAAAAAGUGUAAUCUACUCCAUAGUGAUUGAAGAUCGAACGAAAGUUUGUGUAAGCAUAUAGUGUAAACCUGAAAACAGAAAUCAAUUGAACAUACAUUAUUAUUACAGUUUUUGAGAGCAUAACGUGGAAUUUUUAAAAAUCUGAAGUAGGCCCUGUUGCGAAAAGUUUUCAGUAAGACGUUGUGAGUAACCUAGAACAAUAUGUGAAGGAGUAGAAAAUUAUUGAAUUCGUUCUUAUUUUUCAACAAUUCUCGCAGAUAGAAAAACCUUUGAAAUAAGCGUAAAAACUGAAAAACUGUAGUAUCGAAUACUCCCACGAGGCACAGGACACUGCUAUCCUUCAAGCGAAGGUGCUAGUGUAGGGUGUAGGGGAUAGCGACCAGCCACGCUGUCUCUAGGGACGAGUCAGAAGCUCGGCGACUUGUAGGCUCGCCUCGUCGUCCGCGCCAGUAUUCGACCCUCGCGCACCCUGGGCCGAAGGAAUCCACGCCUUCCGGAGGAAUUCGGACGCUACUAACCGAAUAUCGCUCCAUCGGUCUCGAAGGGAGAUUCACACCACGUGAGCGCAUUGGCACCGCCCAUCACCACCCC
Long non-coding RNA from Aedes albopictus (Asian tiger mosquito), 1167 nucleotides. RefSeq lists it as uncharacterized. The record is from RefSeq and is a predicted model, not a curated record. The transcript has 2 exons. Lineage: Eukaryota; Metazoa; Arthropoda; Insecta; Diptera; Culicidae.